UACGUAGGGUGCAAGCGUUGUUCGGAAUCAUUGGGCGUAAAGCGCGUGUAGGUGGCUAGUUAAGUUGGGUGUGAAAUCCCCGGGCUCAACCCAGGAAGUGCACUCAAAACUGGCUGGCUAGAAGAUAGUAGAGGAUGGUGGAAUUCCAAGUGUAGAGGUGAAAUUCGUAGAUAUUUGGAGGAAUACCGGCGGCGAAGGCGGCCAUCUGGGCUAUUCUUGACACUGAGACGCGAAAGCGUGGGUAGCAAACAGGAUUAGAUACCCUGGUAGUCCACGCUGUAAACGAUGGGUACUAGAUGUUGCAGGAAUUGACCCCUGCAGUGUCGACGCAAACGCAUUAAGUACCCCGCCUGGGAAGUACGGUCGCAAGAUUAAA
This 376-nucleotide ribosomal RNA is filed under the name uncultured bacterium. RNAcentral's name for it is "bacterial SSU rRNA". It matches the Rfam family "Bacterial small subunit ribosomal RNA", at positions 524 to 898 of the family's 1533-position model. The record is from RNAcentral.